ACAGCCUCCUGCGCCACCAGCGAUGCCACCGUGCCGAGCUGGAGCUGGAGAGGGCGGCCGCGCUGCAGGCCCUACAGGCCCAGGCUGCGCAGUCCCCGGCCCCUCUGGAGCAGGAAGCCGAGGGGCUCCCGCUGCCAGUUCCUCGAAUCAAGGAGGAGCCGCCCUCCCCGGGGACCUUGCCCCAGUCCCCAGCGGCACCCCCGGUGUUCCUCAGCGCCUCCUGCUUCGACAGCCAAGACCACUCCGCCUUCAAGAUGGAGGAGGACGAGGUGGACAGCAAGGCCCAACUGCGCGGCUUGGGAGGCCUGGCCUCCUGACCCGCACGGCCCCUCCGACCUCUAGCUUGCAGUGGAUGGAGAGGACCCCCUGCGCCGGCUCCCUCGAGCCCUGUCCCCGGAGCAAGGCCCCGGCCGCCCCCCCUUGCCCAGACCCCGAUGCCGCCCCAUCUUCAGGCAGGACGACUUGGAGCCGGAGGUGGAGGACGCUAGGCCAGAGGGAGGUGGGCAAGUGGCCUCGCCCAGCCGGCCUCUCCCGUGACAUACACUGGACACCAUCACCUCUUCUGAAGGCCCGCCAGGCUGUCCCCGUGAGCACAGGUCCUAGGAGUGGAGUGGAGGGAGGAAGAGCAUCUGCCAGCCAACCUUCCUUAAACUUUCUUGUGCCAUCUGCCUUUCCACCACCACCUUCAAUGGCUCUCUUGCCCUAUGUAAAUACUAGCAUACUUAAUACUUAAGUGUCCUUCCACCUGCAAGAAAAGCAAGCAAGCAUGGGGCCACCCCAUUUUCCAGGCCCCGAGGGUCAGGCGGUACCCCCCACCUGAGCCCUUGGAACAGCUGGCUCGUAGCCAUCCUGGCUGCUCCUGCAGUACAGGCUGGGUUGAUCAGGGCUGCGCAGUGGCUGGGCUGGGCUUGGAGGGACAGUGUAGGUGACCACCACGUCCCGCUCAGGGGCUGGGCAAGAACUGAACACUAGCAGCAAGAAAUCAGGGUUCCCUGAUGAGCCUGGCUCCAAGGACCAGUCAUGUAAGGGUGAGAGCCUCGGUGCUAUUCCCCCAUGCCACCCCCUCCCUGGGGACUGUGGUGGCUCCCUAGUGCCACGAGCCGGCUCAGUGACUGUUUCUGCGGUCACACACCUGGCCAGCACAGUGUCACGGACAAUACUGUCACGGGAGGGGGUUCCAUAGCCCCACUUAAAAGGGGACACACUGAGCUGGGUGUCAUUCUGACCGUGAACUGUCCCUUCAUAUUCAGCAAGUUACUCCCCAGGAGGAAUACUGAAGACGGCCACCAGCUGGUGGCUGCUGCCACUUAGUUACCACACGCGGACAGGCAUAGGAGCACAGCAUAGGAGAUGAGGUGGCCACCCGACCUCAGCCACAGGUGCCCCUGCGGGAAGCAGAGAGCAUUCACUUUCCAGAGGCUGCAGGAGUCGGAACCACCACCCCAGCUCGGGUCCACGACACUGCAGAGUCUCCGGCGUGAGGAGGGGGAUUGGGCCAUGGACUCACUGCUCCUCUGGGCUCAUCCGUGGAGUUCUUAGCUGACUGUGCCGCUGGGAGGCAGGGGCUGGCAGGACAUGGCUGACUGGGGCGUGACUGGAAGGGUACGUCCUCGACCCUGGCUCUUCCCUCUGUCUCUGCUUCCUGGCUGCCAUGGAGUGAGCAGCCAUCCUCCACCAGGCCCUCUCACUGUGCUGUUCUGUCUCGGAGCUGGCCGGCCAUGGACUGGACCCACUGAAACUGUGAGCCAAAUAAACCUCUCCUCCUAAACGCUCUGGGUGUCGCUGUCGUGUCCCAGUGCCGCCACAGCUCGCUAACCCAGUCCCCUCCCCACACGCUGCUGCUCCGGCGGGAGGGCCCCAUCCCUGUGCUGGGAGUUCCUCCCUCCCUCCCUAGCCCGAACACCACCGCUGCCUCAUGCAGCUGCUGCCUCCAGAGAGAAGCGUUCCCAGGAAGAAAUCCGGAUCCUGUGGGGAGGACAGGCUCAGAGAGGCAGCAAGCUCCGCUGCUCUGCUUUGAAAUACCCA
This 2025-nucleotide long non-coding RNA is filed under the name Fukomys damarensis (Damara mole-rat). RNAcentral's name for it is "lncRNA (ENSFDAG00000024004.1)". The record is from RNAcentral. Lineage: Eukaryota; Metazoa; Chordata; Mammalia; Rodentia; Bathyergidae.